This 1698-nucleotide long non-coding RNA is filed under the name Panicum hallii. Its description in RNAcentral is "long non-coding RNA (PHAL_LNC000676)". Lineage: Eukaryota; Viridiplantae; Streptophyta; Magnoliopsida; Poales; Poaceae. The record is from RNAcentral.
AUAGUUGGGUGCUGCUGCCGCAGAAGCUGCUUGGGUUUGGAUGUGCCGACUGCUGCAGAAUUUCAUCUACGAAUGUUCAGGUAUUUCAGAGCAUUUCAGACAAUUGCAUGCCCAGAUAGACCAAAAACGCUCUCAUCUUGUGUUUGAACCCCAACAAAAAUUCCUGGCCUACCUCAAUAGUGUGUUUGGAGGCGCAGAGAAUAAUACAAGGCUUUACGGCUUAGUUCUAAACCCGAAAAUGCUACCUUGUAGGCUGUUGGGUGCUGUGACACUCUUAGCAGUAACUCACAAGGGUUCAGAGCCCUCUUCAAAAAAAAAUAAGGGUUCAGAGCCUUGUUUCGAUAUCCAUGAAUCACUAAAUGGUCAUAGAAUACAGAAUGUAAUUGGGAAAAUUGAGUUUUUUUCCUUUAACCCUGAGAUUGUGGUUGCUAGGAAGGAGUUUUUACCAUGAACGAAACAAUGAGACAUUUCUUUGUGCCCAACUAAGAUUGUUAGAUGCCCAUGAAGGGCCUAUAGUUAAGUUUUACCAAAUCUACUUAAGUUGUUUUGCUGCAGAUUUAUUUUGGAGUAGCAGUUAGGAGUGAUUAUCUAGAUCUCACAUGGGUAUCCUAUGUGAUGUGGUGUAUAAUUGAUCUAAGAUAAAGUGAAAUAAUUUGCAAAAGAGUCUAUAAUAAAUUAAUCUUUUGUUGAAACAUUUGAUAAUUCUGAAGCAAGUGUCAUGGUUUGGAGUACCUUUUUUCCCUUUAUUUCCCUUUAGCAUAAACCAUUUUCAUUUCCUGUAUUUUUUGUACCUAAAAAAUGAAAUUGUUUGUGUGAUGAUAGCUUCUCUUUCAGGUGUUUUAGACAAAUUCAUAUAUCUUGCAGGUAUGUUGAUUUUCAUGGCAACAACUUGUCUGAGCAAGCAGCACUGAUCAUGUAGAAGCAUGCUGUGCUUCCUCAAGUUAUUAGCACUGUGGGUGGUACUUGAAAAAGAAGCCUAAAUUUAUCAAAAGUAAAGUUUUCCAUCUCCCUGAGAUCAGUGGCAGGAGCAGGUAGCAUGUAAUGCCUUGGAAAACAUAGUACAUCUGUCCCACAUAAAAUCCUUUACAGUGUUUGGAAAGUGGAAAUCAUUUUUGAUUUCUAAGAAGGUGAGAUUGCUUCAAGUCUUGGAUCUAGAAAACAUAUACGGUCUGAAGAUUCUUCUCCUGGAACAUAUCAUGGUCUGAAGACUAUUUGGUUAAGAAAGUUGGAUAUGUAUGGUAUUAAAGUGCCAUAAGAAGGAUUGGGAGACUGAAGCCCUGCAUACCCGUUACUCUUGGUGUUGUCAUAUUUUCACAAUUGAAGCUCAAGCAGGAGAUCGAGAAGCUUACCCAAUUGUGCAAGCCAGAUGCUAGUUGCAUUAACAGAACUGCAAGGAAAUCGAGUUUGCCAUCUCCAACUGCAGAUAUUUAUACUGAUUAUUACACUCAUUAUCGAUGCGCAUCAAGGAUGGGUUAUAGAUGGCUUUUUGGACGAGAUAUCGCUUCCUGAGGACAUUGAGAUCCUUCAGCUUUAUAGCUCUAGGGUCUAGGCAAGUGACCCAAAUGGUUUGCGAAGCACUCAAGUGACUAUGGAGAACUCUGUCACCGUUCUAUCAGUGUUGACAUUACAAAGUACUGAGCAAGAUGCUGUAGAAAUCCUAAGAAAACUACCAAAUUUGACCUCUAUUUGUCUCUGGAC